UCUAGGAAAUUCAUCUUGAUAGUCAAAUUGUAAAAAUAUCAAGAAUGAGAAUGUUCAGCUACGUGGAACACGUAAUCUAAACCCAGUUCUUUGCCAAUAGUACACGUUAAUUAUUAUUUAAGAUUUAAACAUGGUCUUAGUUUGAAUUAACUGGAAGAAAAUGCAGCUUCUCUUUGGAAGACCCAUCCAGUUGUUCUUUUUUUAUUGUUUCCAUCACUAUAGGGCAGAGUUAAAGCUGUUUGGAUGGCCUCAACUGUAAUUAUGCUAUUGCAAGCAAUUUAUGAAAUGUUUACAUGCAUAUAAUACAUUGUAUAUUAACUUCAUUAACCCUAAUGCGCUUUGGAUCAGGUCCAACAUUGAUGUGUUGCUGAAUUUGUAAAAUGCUUUGGGAUACUUCAGAUAAAAGGCGCUGUGAUAAAGUGGGAGUUAGUAAUUACCAUAAGCAUGAGGAAGUGGUUAUAUUUGACUCUAGCCAUUGACCCAUAACUCUUGGAAAGAAAUUGAAAACUAAAUGGGAGAGACUGCAGAGUAGCAUCCCAUCAGAAAAUCUGUGCAAUUUCCUAGUGUCUAAUCUAAGCAGCCAGUUCUGAAGGCAGAGGGUGAGAGGUUUUCAUCUGGUUACAGCUGAACAAAGUGCCGAGUGUGUCUUUCCCCAGCCUGCUCUCUGUGCUGAUCUGUGGGCUCGCCUGCAGCGCGGCCUCCGGAGCGUCAGCACGGCCAGCUGCACUGUUCCAAAGACAAUUCCCUGCCACAGGGUCCUCCUUCCCCUCAGCUGUAGUGACCACCCCUUCCCCUGUUGCCUACAACACCCAUCUUUGUGAUCAGUCACCCUGUGGUGAUCUGGUGUUGGUGUUCACCUCCACGGAGUUGCUGGGCUGAGUGCUGGCAAGGCCGCAGACUGACACGGUCAGGUACCGGCAGGACAGGAAUCGGCCAGGCUCCACAUCUCAUGAAAUCUGGGCAUCAUCUGCCUGGCUACCAGCAGUGGAACUUGGUUAGCAGGAGACAAGGAGAGCACAUCUGAACUUACAGCACCGUGUGUCUCACUGAGGCUGGGUUAUGUAGAGGUUUUUCCAAGCGUGUGAUUGCUACAACUGAGGGGAGGCCUUGUCCCAGUUUCCUCAUGAGGGAAAGCAGAGGGGCAGGCACUGAGCUCUUCUCUGCAGUGACCAGUGACAGGACCCAAGGGAACAGCCUGGAGUUGCAUCAGGAAGGUUUAGGCUGGGUAUUAGGAGUUCUUCACCCAGAGAGUGGCUGGGCACUGGAACAGGCUUCCUUGGAAAGUGCUCAGGGUCCCAACCCUGCCAGAGCUCACAGAGCAUUUGAACAACAUUCUUGGGCAAGGAGUGGAUUUUUGGAGCUGUUCUGUACAGAACAAGGAGCUGGGCUUUGAUCCUAGUUGAGUCCCUUCCAGCCCAGGAUAUUCUGUGAUGUCAGCGUAAGGAGGCUAAGCACAUUCCUUCUGAGAUAAGGGAAGAAGAGAAAACUUGCCUGUCUAGUGUAGUAGCAACUACUAAGUACAUCUUGUCCUUGUUUCUUGGGAUUUAUAUUUGGGGGUUUAAGUCGUCUAUUUUUGGUUUUUAAACAGAAGAUGGUCCAACUCCUGUAUGUUUAUAUAGAAAAUUCUACUGGAGGUGAUCCCAGUGCUAAUUGUUAACCAAUGAAUGUCACAAUAGCAUAGGCAAGAGCUCUCUGGACAGCAGGAGAAACAUGGAAACACAGAUACUUACAUGAAAUAGGCAGUGUGUUGGAAGCAUUACUGUCACCUCGUGUAUCUUCCCUUCAGUUAAAUCAGAAGGACAUAUCUGGCCAUUAAAACGUAACAUCUAAAAAAAUGGUGCAAACUGCUUGUGAAGUUCCAUGUGAAACAACUUCAGUUAAAGACGCUGCGAGACAAGACAAUGCAAGACGACAAUGAAGUCAGAAUAAUCUUGUGUGCAUAUGGAGAAUAACUUGUUCCACUGCUGUUGCCUCCUUUCACGGCAAACGUGUGGCAGAACUGCCUUUUCAAAAGUGGAUCAAAGAAUGCUACCAAUACAUUCUUCUCAUCUCCCAUUUAUCCUUCCAUGUCUGUCAUACAAACCAUUUAUUUUUAGGCUCCAAGGAAAGCAGAGAAAUUAAAUUUUCUGCCAACUUCAUUUCAAUGCCAUCUUCCUUUGUUUCUGAUUAAUUGGUGCACAGUGUGAUGUUCUUAAAUAAGCUGUUAUCUAACACAGUGGAAGUGAUGGAGAGGCAAGGGGAUCCCUGACAGUGACAUUACAGCUGCUACCUUAUAGGAGUGCUGUGGCUUUUCAUAUGUGAUUUGUGGUCUUCAGCUUCUCUUCAGCAAAUCACU
Molecule: long non-coding RNA, 2335 nt
Organism: Cyanistes caeruleus (blue tit)
Lineage: Eukaryota; Metazoa; Chordata; Aves; Passeriformes; Paridae
Source: RefSeq, a predicted model, not a curated record